GACGAACGCUGGCGGCGUGCUUAACACAUGCAAGUCGAACGGAAAGGCCCUGCUUUUGUUGGGUGCUCGAGUGGCGAACGGGGGAGUAACACGUGAGUAACCUGCCCUUGACUUUCGGAGAACUUCAGGAAACUGGGGCUAUUACCGCAUAGGAGCUCCUGCUGCAUGGUGGGCGUUGGUGAGUGUCGGCGGUUGGGGAUGGUCUGGCUGCUUAUGAGCUUGUUGGUGAGGUAGUGGCUUACCAGGCCUUUGACGGGUAGCCUGCCUGGGAGGUGGAACGGGGACAUGGGGCCUACGAUACGGAGCAGACUCGUACGGGAGGCAGCAGGGGGGAAUAUUGCACAAUGGGCGGAAGUCUGAGACAAAGACCCCGGGUGCGGAAUAACCGCCUUCGGGGUAUAAACCGCUGUCGACUGUGACGAGGCGUGAGUGACGGUAAUGGAUAAAGAAGCACCGGCUAACUACGUG
This 468-nucleotide ribosomal RNA is filed under the name uncultured bacterium. Its description in RNAcentral is "partial 16S ribosomal RNA". It matches the Rfam family "Bacterial small subunit ribosomal RNA", at positions 28 to 507 of the family's 1533-position model. The record is from RNAcentral.